RNAcentral lists this ribosomal RNA (494 nucleotides) under uncultured bacterium. RNAcentral's name for it is "bacterial SSU rRNA". It matches the Rfam family "Bacterial small subunit ribosomal RNA", at positions 28 to 507 of the family's 1533-position model. The record is from RNAcentral.
GAUGAACGCUAGCUACAGGCUUAACACAUGCAAGUCGAGGGGAAACGAUAGAGAAAGCUUGCUUUUUCUAGGCGUCGACCGGCGCACGGGUGAGUAACGCGUAUCCAACCUGCCCACCACUUGGGGAUAACCUUGCGAAAGUAAGACUAAUACCCAAUGACGUCUCUAGAAGGCAUCUGAAAGGGAUUAAAGAUUUAUCGGUGAUGGAUGGGGAUGCGUCUGAUUAGCUUGUUGGCGGGGUAACGGCCCACCAAGGCUACGAUCAGUAGGGGUUCUGAGAGGAAGGUCCCCCACAUUGGAACUGAGACACGGUCCAAACUCCUACGGGAGGCAGCAGUGAGGAAUAUUGGUCAAUGGGCGAGAGCCUGAACCAGCCAAGUAGCGUGCAGGAAGACGGGCCCCUAUGGGUUGUAAACUGCUUUUAUAAGGGAAUAAAGUUAGUCUCGUGAGACUUUUUGCAUGUACCUUAUGAAUAAGGACCGGCUAAUUCCGUG